Long non-coding RNA from Tympanuchus pallidicinctus (lesser prairie-chicken), 394 nucleotides. RefSeq lists it as uncharacterized. Lineage: Eukaryota; Metazoa; Chordata; Aves; Galliformes; Phasianidae. The record is from RefSeq and is a predicted model, not a curated record. The transcript is spliced from 4 exons.
GUGGGGACCCAUCUGGGUCUGUCCCAGUAGUGAGGGUCCAUGCCUACAAUGGUUAUAGGGGAUCCGUCCCCACUAUGGCAUCCAUCCUGACACAGACAUGGAGACCCACCUUCAUCAUGGCCAUAAAGGAUCUGCCCCAAAAGUGAGGAUCCAUCCCUACAAUGGUUAUAGGGGAUUUGUCCCCACUAUGGGUGAUUAUAGGGGAUCUGUCCCCACUAUGGGAUCCAAACUCACACAGCCAUGGAGACCCACCUUCAUCAUGGCCAUAAAGGAUCUGCCCCAAUAGUGAAGAUCCAUCCCUACAAUGGUUAUAGGGGAUCUGUCCCCACUAUGGGGUCCAUCCUGACACAGACAUGGAGACCCACCUUCAUCAUGGCCAUAAAGGAUCUGCCCC